This 1726-nucleotide ribosomal RNA is filed under the name Salmonella enterica subsp. enterica serovar London. Its description in RNAcentral is "partial 23S ribosomal RNA". It matches the Rfam family "Bacterial large subunit ribosomal RNA", at positions 1 to 1757 of the family's 2925-position model. The record is from RNAcentral. Lineage: Bacteria; Pseudomonadati; Pseudomonadota; Gammaproteobacteria; Enterobacterales; Enterobacteriaceae.
GGGUUGUGAGGUUAAGCGACUAAGCGUACACGGUGGAUGCCCUGGCAGUCAGAGGCGAUGAAGGGCGUGCUAAUCUGCGAUAAGCGCCGGUAAGGUGAUAUGAACCGUUAUAACCGGCGAUACCCGAAUGGGGAAACCCAGUGUGAUUCGUCACACUAUCAUUAACUGAAUCCAUAGGUUAAUGAGGCGAACCGGGGGAACUGAAACAUCUAAGUACCCCGAGGAAAAGAAAUCAACCGAGAUUCCCCCAGUAGCGGCGAGCGAACGGGGAGGAGCCCAGAGCCUGAAUCAGCAUGUGUGUUAGUGGAAGCGUCUGGAAAGGCGCGCGAUACAGGGUGACAGCCCCGUACACAAAAGCGCAUGUGCUGUGAGCUCGAUGAGUAGGGCGGGACACGUGGUAUCCUGUCUGAAUAUGGGGGGACCAUCCUCCAAGGCUAAAUACUCCUGACUGACCGAUAGUGAACCAGUACCGUGAGGGAAAGGCGAAAAGAACCCCGGCGAGGGGAGUGAAAAAGAACCUGAAACCGUGUACGUACAAGCAGUGGGAGCACAGGUUUACCUGUGUGACUGCGUACCUUUUGUAUAAUGGGUCAGCGACUUAUAUUCUGUAGCAAGGUUAACCGUAUAGGGGAGCCGUAGGGAAACCGAGUCUUAACCGGGCGUUAAGUUGCAGGGUAUAGACCCGAAACCCGGUGAUCUAGCCAUGGGCAGGUUGAAGGUUGGGUAACACUAACUGGAGGACCGAACCGACUAAUGUUGAAAAAUUAGCGGAUGACCUGUGGCUGGGGGUGAAAGGCCAAUCAAACCGGGAGAUAGCUGGUUCUCCCCGAAAGCUAUUUAGGUAGCGCCUCGUGAAUUCAUCUCCGGGGGUAGAGCACUGUUUCGGCUAGGGGGCCAUCCCGGCUUACCAACCCGAUGCAAACUGCGAAUACCGGAGAAUGUUAUCACGGGAGACACACGGCGGGUGCUAACGUCCGUCGUGAAGAGGGAAACAACCCAGACCGCCAGCUAAGGUCCCAAAGUCAUGGUUAAGUGGGAAACGAUGUGGGAAGGCCCAGACAGCCAGGAUGUUGGCUUAGAAGCAGCCAUCAUUUAAAGAAAGCGUAAUAGCUCACUGGUCGAGUCGGCCUGCGCGGAAGAUGUAACGGGGCUAAACCAUGCACCGAAGCUGCGGCAGCGACACUAUGUGUUGUUGGGUAGGGGAGCGUUCUGUAAGCCUGUGAAGGUGUGUCGUGAGGCAUGCUGGAGGUAUCAGAAGUGCGAAUGCUGACAUAAGUAACGAUAAAGCGGGUGAAAAGCCCGCUCGCCGGAAGACCAAGGGUUCCUGUCCAACGUUAAUCGGGGCAGGGUGAGUCGACCCCUAAGGCGAGGCCGAAAGGCGUAGUCGAUGGGAAACGGGUUAAUAUUCCCGUACUUGGUGUUACUGCGAAGGGGGGACGGAGAAGGCUAUGUUGGCCGGGCGACGGUUGUCCCGGUUUAAGCGUGUAGGUGUGUGUUCCAGGUAAAUCCGGUUCACUUUAACACUGAGGCGUGAUGACGAGGCACUACGGUGCUGAAGCAACAAAUGCCCUGCUUCCAGGAAAAGCCUCUAAGCAUCAGGUAACAUCAAAUCGUACCCCAAACCGACACAGGUGGUCAGGUAGAGAAUACCAAGGCGCUUGAGAGAACUCGGGUGAAGGAACUAGGCAAAAUGGUGCCGUAACUUCGGGAGAAGGCACGCUGACAC